RNAcentral lists this ribosomal RNA (416 nucleotides) under Theileria sp. OT3. RNAcentral's name for it is "SSU rRNA". It matches the Rfam family "Eukaryotic small subunit ribosomal RNA", at positions 546 to 991 of the family's 1831-position model. Lineage: Eukaryota; Apicomplexa; Aconoidasida; Piroplasmida; Theileriidae. The record is from RNAcentral.
CAUUGGAGGGCAGUCUGGUGCCAGCAGCCGCGGUAAUUCCAGCUCCAAUAGCGUAUAUUAAAAUUGUUGCAGUUAAAAAGCUCGUAGUUGAAUUUCUGCUGUAUUGCAUUUUCUCUUUUUAUAUGAGUUUUUGCGUUAUGGAUUAUUUCAAUAUUAAUUUUUUAUUAUUACUGAAUGUUUACUUUGAGAAAAUUAGAGUGCUCAAAGCAGGCUUUUGCCUUGAAUAGUUUAGCAUGGAAUAAUAAAGUAGGACUUUGGUUCUAUUUUGUUGGUUUUAGGUACCAAAGUAAUGGUUAAUAGGAACAGUUGGGGGCAUUCGUAUUUAACUGUCAGAGGUGAAAUUCUUAGAUUUGUUAAAGACGAACUACUGCGAAAGCAUUUGCCAAGGAUGUUUUCAUUAAUCAAGAACGAAAGUA